This is a long non-coding RNA of Mus musculus (house mouse), 2656 nucleotides long. RefSeq annotates it as predicted gene, 36488. The record is from RefSeq and is a predicted model, not a curated record. Lineage: Eukaryota; Metazoa; Chordata; Mammalia; Rodentia; Muridae. The transcript has 9 exons.
AGCUGGUCAUGUAAUAUGUUAGCAAAUGGCAGACUGAAAAUGUAGAGCAAGGUUGGGCUAACGGAUUUUUAUCAAGAGGAAAUGCGGGGGCGUGGUGUUCGUCUGUGUGAGUCUAGGGAGCACUAGGGAGUGGUCGAAAAGAGUGAUGGGAGAAAGGACAACGCCAAAGAACAAAGAAGCUCUUUACACACGAUCAGUGCCUGCCCUCCGUAGCUCCUUCCGGAACCACUGAUGUUACUAAAGCAUAAAUUAAUUCUCUGAGAGCAGAAGUUAUUAGGCCGUUGUUAUUGUAGUCAGGGUAGGCUCACCUUGGAGGAGAAAUGCCACAGUAAUAGGACAGUCAUUGGAGUUCACACUGCACGUUGAAGCUGGGAAGGCUGUUCUACCACGCAAUGCAUCCAAGUAAGAGAAUCCCUCUGGACAUGAGCAUUCCUAAAGGAUGGAGCAAGCCAUCCCUGGCUAUUCUAGAUUUCACUGUGUAGGCCGAGCUGUCCUCAAACUCAAAAGGAUCAGCUUUCCUCUGCCUCCUGAGUACUGGGACUACAGCUGGUGUCACCAUGGCCAGCUUUCCUUCAGCAUUCUUUAGCACGGGUCUGAAGCCUCACCUUCACAGUGAGGAAACCAGCCAUGAAAAUCAUCCUUCAAUAACUACGUCUUUCAUGUUCUGUGUAUCAGUGUCCUCCUGUUCCUGGGAUCCUGCACUUGAUGAUUCUUGCCAGUAUCUAGGAUCGGUGAGCACUGUGCAUCAGAAUCAGAAAGUCUUUCAAGUUUCUUAUGAUGGCCACUGUCACUGGAACUGUUGAAGGACUCCAUUGGCACUGUCUGCACAACUGAAGUAAUUUCUUACUAAGAUGCCAGCCAUGUGUUGUCCAGCACGAAUGAAAAAUCCUGGAAAUGAGAAAACGAGAGAACAGACAUGUACUUCCUGCAGAAGGGAAACUCCUCCCUGGAAAGCUCGAACUCUGAGUCUCUCCGUAGGAUUGUGGCCUAGCAUUCAUCAUGAUAGAAGCUGUGGACUCUCCAAGCUGGCUGAACAUUCCGGGUGGGGCAUCCUAAGCUUAAACAAGCAGGAUUCUGACAGAAGCACACCAGGCAAUGUGAGGCUCCAUCCAGUCAAAUACAGGAGGCAUGAAGCUCACUCAGUGACACACAGAAUAAGUAAGAGAUGGACACUGCCUCAGUGUAAGAUCAAGGCUGUCAGGAUCACCAUAAAGAAUCACAAAGAGCAAGAGAGAAAGCACGAUCAAGAGGAGCGGGGUCAAAAUCCUGUGACUUAGCUGUGGCCGUAACAAUACACAUGACAAAGUUUGAAUGAGAAAGUCCAUCUAGGAGAGAAAGUCAGACUCUGGACCUUGGAAGAUCACCUCUGCCAGAAAUCAUAAGCAAAAUUCUUCACCCCAGAGGCUCCAAUCUCAUUCCAAACCGGAAGUGAAGAUAUCUAUCACUGGGCGAGGCAGCGCUGGACCAGCGGGAGGAUGAGAGUCAGUAAUUGCUAUUCUGGUUGUUCAGCUCUGACAAUAAACUCAUAACUGCAGCUCGGUGAGAUGCACAAAGGAGAGAAAGACAAACACAGGCCCAGGGCUCCUUAGGAGGUGCUUUCAGAAACAGGAUGAAGAGUGUUACAGAAACUGAAGCCCAGUGUCAUGAGCAGAUAAACAGUCAGUUCUCGCUCCCUGCGAGUUGCCUAGGUGAUUUGCAGAAGACCGGGGAAUUGCUUGAUUCCCCUUUCCUUUCAAACAUAGAUGAAGUAAUUAAAAACCUGCCCCGGGAGAAAGUUCUUGGCCCUGGCGGAGCUACAGGAGAUUUCUAUAAAACCUUUGGCUUAGCUCUUUCUGUACAUCUACUUGAUGAGCUCGGUCAUGUGACGGGCUCAGGUGAAUUUAUCUCUGCCAGCCCCUAUAUCCAGAUUAUCUUAAUUGCUGAGAAGGAUAAAGAGACAGAAAACUGUACCAAAACCCAUUUCAGACUUGUGAUGAAAGUAGAUAUCAAGUUUUAGAGUGGAUUUUGGUCAUGCUCAUCAGUGUCUGGAUCUGAGGGUAACCAAGCUGCUCUUGGGGGUGGGUUGUUUUAGACUACAGCUAUUUAAAAGAAAACAGCCAUAAAACCAUAUCCUAGAUUCAAAUUCUGUGCCGAUCGCAGGACAGUAGCACCCUCAUUUAUUGCUUUUCUUUACUAGCAAAUAGGGUAGUUUUUGUUUGUUUGUUGGCAGAAAGGUAUCAGAGAUGUACUAUAUAUUAUGAUAUAUAUAUAUAUAUAUUCUUGGAAAAAACAAUUUCCUUUUGAUUCGAGACUUUCCAGGUCUUUGAGUAAGUUAGAAGUAGAUUUAAAAAGAGAUUAUGUAGGCUUGCUUCCAAAACUGCCAUAGAUGUAUUGAAGGCUACAAACCAAAUUUAAAAGGAUAACUGUAAAAUUCAUUAUGGUGUUUCCUAUAGCACCCAAGGGUAUGUGGAGGCUGCUUUUAUCUUUCAAUUUGCUUAUGCGUCCCUCUGUCCAUCACUCCGUCUUUCCUCCCACUAGCUCACCUAUCUAUCUAUCUAUCUAUCUAUCUAUCUAUCUAUCACUGACAUUUUUGGAUAUUGUGGUCUAUUAAGUUACACUUCUUUUAUUCUUGUUCUCUUGCUCAGUAACAAUACACAUGACAAAGUUUGAAUGAGAA